This 65-nucleotide transfer RNA is filed under the name Fluviphylax pygmaeus. RNAcentral's name for it is "tRNA-Cys". The record is from RNAcentral. Lineage: Eukaryota; Metazoa; Chordata; Actinopteri; Cyprinodontiformes; Fluviphylacidae.
AGUCUCGGGGUGUUACAUGUUAGAUUGCAAAUCUAAAGAAGUAGACUAGACGUCUGCCGGGGCUU